Molecule: ribosomal RNA, 253 nt
Filed under: uncultured bacterium
Lineage: Bacteria
Description: partial 16S ribosomal RNA
Rfam family: Bacterial small subunit ribosomal RNA
Source: RNAcentral
UACGGAGGGUGCGAGCGUUGUCCGGAAUCAUUGGGCGUAAAGCGUGCGUAGGUGGUUCGUUAAGUCUGUCGUGAAAGCCCCGGGCUCAACCUGGGAAUGGCGAUGGAUACUGGCGGGCUAGAGUGCGGUAGAGGAGAGUGGAAUUCCCGGUGUAGCAGUGAAAUGCGUAGAGAUCGGGAGGAACAUCAGUUGCGAAGGCGGCUCUCUGGACCAGCACUGACACUGAGGCACGAAAGCGUGGGGAGCAAACAGG